RNAcentral lists this ribosomal RNA (440 nucleotides) under uncultured bacterium. RNAcentral's name for it is "partial 16S ribosomal RNA". It matches the Rfam family "Bacterial small subunit ribosomal RNA", at positions 338 to 795 of the family's 1533-position model. The record is from RNAcentral.
CCUACGGGAGGCAGCAGUGGGGAAUAUUGCACAAUGGGGGAAACCCUGAUGCAGCGACGCCGCGUGAGCGAUGAAGUAUUUCGGUAUGUAAAGCUCUAUCAGCCGGGAAGAAAAUGACGGUACCUGUCUAAGAAGCCCCGGCUAACUACGUGCCAGCAGCCGCGGUAAUACGUAGGGGGCAAGCGUUAUCCGGAUUUACUGGGUGUAAAGGGAGCGUAGACGGCGGUGCAAGCCAGAUGUGAAAGCCUGGGGCUCAACCCCGGGACUGCAUUUGGAACUGUGCUGCUAGAGUGUCGGAGAGGCAAGCGGAAUUCCUAGUGUAGCGGUGAAAUGCGUAGAUAGUAGGAGGAACACCAGUGGCGAAGGCGGCCUGCUGGACGAUGACUGACGUUGAGGCUCGAAAGCGUGGGGAGCAAACAGGAUUAGAUACCCCGGUAGUC